UACGAAGGGGGCUAGCGUUGCUCGGAAUUACUGGGCGUAAAGGGCGCGUAGGCGGAUGUUUAAGUCGGGGGUGAAAGCCCAGGGCUCAACCCUGGAAUUGCCUUCGAUACUGGACAUCUUGAGUGCGGGAGAGGUGAGUGGAACUCCGAGUGUAGAGGUGAAAUUCGUAGAUAUUGGGAAGAACACCGGUGGCGAAGGCGGCCAACUGGACCACAACUGACGCUGAGGCGCGAAAGCGUGGGGAGCAAACAGG
Molecule: ribosomal RNA, 253 nt
Filed under: uncultured bacterium
Lineage: Bacteria
Description: partial 16S ribosomal RNA
Rfam family: Bacterial small subunit ribosomal RNA
Source: RNAcentral